This 68-nucleotide transfer RNA is filed under the name Marmota monax (woodchuck). Its description in RNAcentral is "tRNA.Ala". The stretch from base 5 to 65 matches the Rfam family "tRNA", at positions 6 to 65 of the family's 71-position model. From Rfam's summary of the family: Transfer RNA (tRNA) molecules are approximately 80 nucleotides in length. Lineage: Eukaryota; Metazoa; Chordata; Mammalia; Rodentia; Sciuridae. The record is from RNAcentral.
GGAUUGUAGCUCAGUGAUAGAGCACUUGCCUCGCAUGCGUGAGGCACUGGGUUCGAUCCUCAGUACCA